This 372-nucleotide ribosomal RNA is filed under the name uncultured organism. RNAcentral's name for it is "partial 16S ribosomal RNA". It matches the Rfam family "Bacterial small subunit ribosomal RNA", at positions 527 to 896 of the family's 1533-position model. The record is from RNAcentral.
GUAGGUGGCAAGCGUUGUCCGGAAUUGUUGGGCGUAAAGCGCGCGCAGGCGGUUCUUUAAGUCUGAUGUGAAAGCCCACGGGCUCAACCGUGGAGGGCCAUUGGAAACUGGAGAACUUGAGUACAGAAGAGGAAAGCGGAAUUCCACGUGUAGCGGUGAAAUGCGUAGAGAUGUGGAGGAACACCAGUGGCGAAGGCGGCUUUCUGGUCUGUAACUGACGCUGAGGCGCGAAAGCGUGGGGAGCAAACAGGAUUAGAUACCCUGGUAGUCCACGCCGUAAACGAUGAGUGCUAAGUGUUAGGGGGUUUCCGCCCCUUAGUGCUGCAGCUAACGCAUUAAGCACUCCGCCUGGGGAGUACGGCCGCAAGGCUG